Molecule: unclassified non-coding RNA, 358 nt
Filed under: soil metagenome
Description: partial contains 5.8S ribosomal RNA, internal transcribed spacer 2, and large subunit ribosomal RNA
Rfam family: 5.8S ribosomal RNA (bases 1-120)
Source: RNAcentral
GAUGAAGAACGUAGCGAAAUGCGAUAAGUAAUGUGAAUUGCAGAAUUCAGUGAAUCAUCGAAUCUUUGAACGCACAUUGCGCCCGUCAGUAUUCUGGCGGGCAUGCCUGGUCGAGCGUCAUUACGCCCCUCAAGUCCCCUGUGGACUUGGUGUUGGGGAUCGGCGAGGCUGGUUUUCCAGCACAGCCGUCCCUUAAAUUAAUUGGCGGUCUCGCCGUGGCCCUCCUCUGCGCAGUAGUAAAACACUCGCAACAGGAGCCCGGCGCGGUCCACUGCCGUAAAACCCCCCAACUUUUUAUAGUUGACCUCGAAUCAGGUAGGACUACCCGCUGAACUUAAGCAUAUCAAUAAGCGGAGGA